UACGUAGGGCGCAAGCGUUGUCCGGAAUUAUUGGGCGUAAAGAGCUCGUAGGCGGCUUGUCACGUCGAUUGUGAAAGCCCGAGGCUUAACCUCGGGUCUGCAGUCGAUACGGGCUAGCUAGAGUGUGGUAGGGGAGAUCGGAAUUCCUGGUGUAGCGGUGAAAUGCGCAGAUAUCAGGAGGAACACCGGUGGCGAAGGCGGAUCUCUGGGCCAUUACUGACGCUGAGGAGCGAAAGCGUGGGGAGCGAACAGG
Molecule: ribosomal RNA, 253 nt
Filed under: uncultured bacterium
Lineage: Bacteria
Also listed under: 1 other name
Description: partial 16S ribosomal RNA
Rfam family: Bacterial small subunit ribosomal RNA
Source: RNAcentral